CUUCCCAGGCUUCUCUUUUGGCUUUAAACCCUUCCUAUGGUAAGCAGCAGCAUCACGGAAGCAACCAUGAAUGGCUUCAAGGAGAGGCAUUUAUGAGUGAUGAUGCGAGUUCUCAAAGCUCGUUCAACUGCUCUACUUUAAAUUACUGCUCAGGCAAUGAAGAUGACAGCGAUAUCAGAGGAGGAGAGCCUCUCUGCUUCACAAAGGCCCAUAAAUCUACGAGAUUCUGUCCUGCAGACAGCUUGUGUGC
RNAcentral lists this unclassified non-coding RNA (250 nucleotides) under Hevea brasiliensis (rubber tree). Lineage: Eukaryota; Viridiplantae; Streptophyta; Magnoliopsida; Malpighiales; Euphorbiaceae. The record is from RNAcentral.